This 1251-nucleotide ribosomal RNA is filed under the name Proctophantastes gillissi. RNAcentral's name for it is "eukaryotic LSU rRNA". It matches the Rfam family "Eukaryotic large subunit ribosomal RNA", at positions 88 to 925 of the family's 3401-position model. The record is from RNAcentral. Lineage: Eukaryota; Metazoa; Platyhelminthes; Trematoda; Plagiorchiida; Zoogonidae.
CGGGAGUCAACAGGGUAAUGCCCACACACGCAGCCUCUGGCUGUUUAAUCAUUAGGCAAUGUAGUGAACAGGUCGUCCCGCAAGUACAAUACCUCACUCAAAGUCCGGCAAUGAAUACCGUAUAACCGACAUCGCCCACAGAAGGUGUAAGGCCCGUGAGGGUGGAGUUCGAGAGUCCACUGUCUCUCUGGAUAGACCUUGGAGUCGGGUUGUUUGUGAAUGCAGCCCAAAGUGGGUGGUAAACUCCAUCCAAGGCUAAAUACAUACACGAGUCCGAUAGUAAACAAGUCCCGUGAGGGAAAGUGGAAAAGUACUUUGAAGAGACAGUAAACAGUGCGUGAAGCCGCUCAGAGUGCAAACGGAUGGAAUUGAACUGCUUGCUUUGAGGAUUCAGCUGUCGAAUAUGGUUUGAGCUUGGUCAAACCGGCUGAACCUCGUAGUCUGCGUAGUAGCAGGUGUGCGUCCAUUGACGGAGGUGUGCGAUACGCUUAUCAUGUGUCGUACGCCACGUGGUUCAUCGCGCCGGCUUGCCAGUGCAUUUUCUCUUAGCACUAACCAUGACUGGUAUUAUUGCCAGGCUGUCGGGGUUAAACCGGUCAUUCAUCGCCCUUGCGCGUUCUAUUAGUUGGGAUGGUUAAUAACAUACUGGCUAGUGCCCGCUUCGCUACAUGCGAAACACUCAUGAGUGCAAUCAGCCGACCGUGAUGGUUCAGUGCAGAAUGUCUUAGACGCGGGCUAGCGUGUAUGCAUGCGUACCAGUUCAGUUGACAUGUUUGAGUUUGGUUGUCAUGUUGCUUGUCAAAGCAGGCCUGUCGAUAACUUGAGCUUGUUCGUAUGGCACUCGUGCAUGUAUUUCCUUCCAAGGGCCUACAGUCCAUGGUGCAGUGGAAUACUAUCCACUCGACCCGUCUUGAGACACGGACCAAGGAGAUUAACAUUUACGCGAGUCAUUGGGCCAUACGAAACUCAAAGGCAUAGUGAAAGUGAAGGUCCGGCUUGUCCGGAUUGUAGUGAGAUCCUGCGCUGUCUCGUGCGUGGUACUACCAAGUGUCGCUCGGUAGGCGCAUCACCGGCCCGUCCCAUGAUAAUUGCUCUCGGGCUUUUAUCAGUCGGGGCGGAGCAUGAGCGUACAUGUUGAGACCCGAAAGAUGGUGAACUAUGCUUGCGCAGGUUGAAGCCAGAGGAAACUCUGGUGGAGGACCGAAGCGGUUCUGACGUGCAAAUCGAUCGCCAGACGUGAGUAUAGGGGCG